Molecule: ribosomal RNA, 224 nt
Filed under: uncultured bacterium
Lineage: Bacteria
Description: partial 16S ribosomal RNA
Rfam family: Bacterial small subunit ribosomal RNA
Source: RNAcentral
CGACGUAAAGAAACUUAGCCUCACAGCUAGGGACAACAUUUAGAAAUGAAUGCUAAUACCUGAUAUUAUGAUUUUAAGGCAUCUUAGAAUUAUGAAAGCUAUAAGCACUGUGAGAGAGCUUUGCGUCCCAUUAGCUAGUUGGAGAGGUAACAGCUCACCAAGGCGAUGAUGGGUAGCCGGCCUGAGAGGGUGAACGGCCACAAGGGGACUGAGACACGGCCCUU